GAUGAACGCUGGCGGCGUGCCUAAUACAUGCAAGUCGAGCGAACGGACGAGAAGCUUGCUUCUCUGAUGUUAGCGGCGGACGGGUGAGUAACACGUGGAUAACCUACCUAUAAGACUGGGAUAACUUCGGGAAACCGGAGCUAAUACCGGAUAAUAUUUUGAACCGCAUGGUUCAAAAGUGAAAGACGGUCUUGCUGUCACUUAUAGAUGGAUCCGCGCUGCAUUAGCUAGUUGGUAAGGUAACGGCUUACCAAGGCAACGAUGCAUAGCCGACCUGAGAGGGUGAUAGGCCACACUGGAACUGAGACACGGUCCAGACUCCUAAGGGAGGCAGCAGUAGGGAAUCUUCCGCAAUGGGCGAAAGCCUGACGGAGCAACGCCGCGUGAGUGAUGAAGGUCUUCGGAUCGUAAAACUCUGUUAUUAGGGAAGAACAUAUGUGUAAGUAACUGUGCACAUCUUGACGGUACCUAAUCAGAAAGCCACGGCUAACUACGUG
Molecule: ribosomal RNA, 497 nt
Filed under: uncultured bacterium
Lineage: Bacteria
Description: partial 16S ribosomal RNA
Rfam family: Bacterial small subunit ribosomal RNA
Source: RNAcentral